UCGGACUGGAGUCUGCAACCCGACUCCACGAAGCUGGAUUCGCUAGUAAUCGCGCAUCAGCCACGGCGCGGUGAAUACGUUCCCGGGCCUUGUACACACCGCCCGUCAAGCCAUGGGAGCCGGGGGUACCUGAAGUGCGUAACCGCGAGGAUCGCCCUAGGGUAAAACUGGUGACUGGGGCUAAGUCGUAACAAGGUAUC
This 200-nucleotide ribosomal RNA is filed under the name uncultured bacterium. RNAcentral describes it as "partial 16S ribosomal RNA". It matches the Rfam family "Bacterial small subunit ribosomal RNA", at positions 1293 to 1500 of the family's 1533-position model. The record is from RNAcentral.